Long non-coding RNA from Scophthalmus maximus (turbot), 683 nucleotides. RefSeq lists it as uncharacterized. NCBI's taxonomy places the organism in Eukaryota, Metazoa, Chordata, Actinopteri, Pleuronectiformes, Scophthalmidae. The record is from RefSeq and is a predicted model, not a curated record. The transcript is spliced from 4 exons.
GCCGACUGCACGUAUUUAAAACACGAAGAAAAAGCUGCAGCAGUCUCAGUUGCUUCCUGUCCGUCUCCAUCGCAACAUGUCGCGAGUGAACGGUCACUUUGAAAAUGGCCUUCUAGUCCAGACCUGGCUUGGAUCUUCAAAUAAGGUCAAGCCACUCCUAGACUGGAUUCAACGAGCCACGCACCCAAAACUUGUGACCGUGCACUUCUGACUACUGGGGAGGAGGAAUCAGUGUUUGGGAAGAGGAGCGUAACCUCGCUAACACUGACUUGUCAUGGCUGAUUCACUAGUAAGAAAACAACCUGACGACGUAAUAAAACGACGAACAUGGCUAUUGUUGGUGGAUACAUUUGUCACGCUGGCAUGUUAGUAUCGGUGAACAUUUUAGCCAGCCAGUUUUAACUUACUGCAUCGGAACUCUUUUUUCAAUACAUUUUCACCAGUGCUGUCAUGGUAUGCGUGACAAAUGUGCCCACCAACAAUAGCCAUUUCGUAAGGUUUACUAUGCUAAUGUUUGCGAUCGCUACCCAGAUCCACACGGAUAAUAUUCUGUUUUUGAUCCUAAAAGGGUAGUGAGCGACUGGUAUUUUGUGCGUUACAAUGUUUAUUUCUUUAUGCAGAAUUUAAAUUGUAAAUAAAGAAUCCUGUUCUAUAUAUAUUUUUUAAUAAAACUCUUUAAAAUA